Molecule: unclassified non-coding RNA, 201 nt
Filed under: Hevea brasiliensis (rubber tree)
Lineage: Eukaryota; Viridiplantae; Streptophyta; Magnoliopsida; Malpighiales; Euphorbiaceae
Source: RNAcentral
GAUCAAGUAGUAGGUGUUUUAUAUAGUGUGUCAUCAGAUGAGGAUGCUGAUUCAGGAAUUCUGUUGGAGCUCAGGAAAGAAAAAGUUCACACAGAAUACGGUGGUGCAGAAGAGGGGUUUUCUGGUCGUCAAUAUGCCCUGAUUGGAGAAGCCAUGUGGUUGCAGGCCCUAAAGCGGCAUAAUGACUUUGAAGCAACAUCG